RNAcentral lists this ribosomal RNA (279 nucleotides) under Triticum aestivum (bread wheat). RNAcentral describes it as "partial small subunit ribosomal RNA". Lineage: Eukaryota; Viridiplantae; Streptophyta; Magnoliopsida; Poales; Poaceae. The record is from RNAcentral.
GCCGAGGACAAGCUUCUUUGCGAGUGUUGGAGAGACAUUGGGCAAGACCCCAAGACUGGAGCCGAACAAAAGCAUUCAACUUUUUGGAUUUGUGUCCACCGUGAGUUCCAUGAGCGCAAGAAGUUUCCGUCGUACCAAAUAGUAAGCACACAUGGGUGGGUGUCCAUUUCGAAGCGAUGGAGGGUGAUCCAACAAGAGCGCAACAAGUUUUGUGUCUCUCUUGAGAGCGUCAAGGCCUGCCCCGUGAGCGGCAUCGGCAUGCAAGACAUGCUAUGCUAG